Molecule: ribosomal RNA, 291 nt
Filed under: uncultured Synergistaceae bacterium
Lineage: Bacteria; Thermotogati; Synergistota; Synergistia; Synergistales; Synergistaceae
Description: partial 16S ribosomal RNA
Rfam family: Bacterial small subunit ribosomal RNA
Source: RNAcentral
CGAGCGCAACCCCUGCAUUCAGUUGCCAUCGGGUAAUGCCGGGCACUCUGGAAGGACUGCCAUCGACAAGAUGGAGGAAGGUGGGGAUGACGUCAAGUCAUCAUGGCCCUUAUGUCCAGGGCGACACACGUGCUACAAUGGCCGGCACAACGGGAAGCGAGUUCGCGAGGACGAGCGGAUCCCUCAAAGCCGGUCGCAGUUCGGAUUGAAGUCUGCAACUCGACUUCAUGAAGCUGGAAUCGCUAGUAAUCGUGGAUCAGCCAAGCCGCGGUGAAUACGUUCCCGGGCCUU